UUCUUAAUAAUUUACCUAAAAUAUCUACUUUGGAUGUAGAAAAUUUCAAAAU
This 52-nucleotide transfer RNA is filed under the name Goeldia sp. DPP-2018. RNAcentral's name for it is "tRNA-Pro". Lineage: Eukaryota; Metazoa; Arthropoda; Arachnida; Araneae; Titanoecidae. The record is from RNAcentral.